ACGAAGGGGGCUAGCGUUGCUCGGAAUCACUGGGCGUAGAGGGUGCGUAGGCGGGGCUUUAAGUCAGGGGUGAAAUCCUGGAGCUCAACUCCAGAACUGCCUUUGAUACUGAAGAUCUUGAGUCCGGGAGAGGUGAGUGGAACUGCGAGUGUAGAGGUGAAAUUCGUAGAUAUUCGCAAGAACACCAGUGGCGAAGGCGGCUCACUGGCCCGGUACUGACGCUGAGGCACGAAAGCGUGGGGAGCAAACAGG
This 252-nucleotide ribosomal RNA is filed under the name uncultured bacterium. RNAcentral's name for it is "partial 16S ribosomal RNA". It matches the Rfam family "Bacterial small subunit ribosomal RNA", at positions 525 to 776 of the family's 1533-position model. The record is from RNAcentral.